CUGCAACCACUGGUUCUUCAGUCCAGUCAGACAGCCUCUUCCACCUGAGCACCGUACCUGAGCUCGGAAAGCCCGGCAGGACCCUGGAGAGGAAGAGGGAAUGUCAAUCCCACCUAGUCUGCUUCCUUCGUUUUGAAGGACAUAUCUUUUCCAGUUUACUUCUGCUUUUUGUUGCUCUCCAGUGCCUUCAAACAGUUGUUUUUCAUACUUUGUCCAAAGCUUAUAUUUGUUCUUGGCAGGAGGGUCAGUUAUCUGACUAUGGUGCCACUAUUGGAGCUGGAACUGACCUGUCCGAGCAUAUUUUUUAGUUUUAAAGCCUUAAGAAAGCACGAGGAGCUUCUCUAAACAUCUUGCUCCCUUCUUUAAUUCACCUAAUAUUCUUUAAACCCUAGACUUCUCAAGGACCUGCCAAGAACACCAUGUGCUCUCUUCAACUCCGUUUACCAAGUUAAGAUUUGGCUGCAGCUCGUCAGAAUUGGGAAUUGGUUUUACAACCUCUGAUGUUCCUCUCAACCCUCAGAAUCUACAAUAUUCUGCAUUAGGUACUUUUGCAGAAUUCUUUACUUCUGUCUGCCAGGAAGUAUCAGGUCAGCCGUGUUUGAAGGAGGGACAUGAAUGCAUCCCCUCCUUAACCCCCUUUAUGAAGAGAAACGCACCUCAGCCACAGAGACCGGGCCCGGGGUGCCGCUGUAGGAACCACUUUGUGGAAAGUUAGAUUUAUUCUUUGCUAAAAUGGAAGAACCCUGAGCGCAGGGACCGUGGCGGGCAGCUCUGUCCGCGCAGACACUUGGUAAGCCUUUCUCUCCUGGGCAUGUGGGAAGCCACACUCCCCUGGCCUUCGCGUGUGGUCAGGGCCGUGUGCCUGGUCCUGGCCUAUAGGCGGUGAGAGGAAGUGACCUACGUCCUGUCCAGGCUGAGGCGUUUAAAGCCCCUGCAUCAUUCGCCGGUCUCUCGCCUCCUGUUGAGGCGACUGGAGGAGGCUGGCGGUGAGAGGCACAGACGCAGUGUGGAAAGAGCAGCCCGGUGCACGGUGCACUUUGAGCAAGGAGGAAACGUGAGUUGUGUCAAGCCGUGAAGACUUAGGGACUGCUUUUUACCCCGACAUAGCCCAUCCUGUCCUGAGAAAUGUAGAAAUUUUGGACUUAAAAACUGAGACAUCAUUUACAAACAGUGAAACACUCAGACUUUAAGUGUGCGGUUUGAACUGUUUCGACAAAUGCCGAUACUCACGCAGCCCACACCCAUUUUAAGACACAGAACUUUACUGUCACCCAAGACAGCUCUCCUGUGCGCCUCUGCAGUCAAACCCCAAACCCCUCCCUGCAGAAAAAUCCCUCAUUUCUUUUAAUAUAGUUUUGCCAAUUGUCAAACUUGACAUAAAUAGAAUCAUAUAAUGUGUACAUCUUUGUGUGCGCCUGGCUUCUUUCACUCAGUGUGAGAUUUCUGAGAUUUAUCUAUGCUGAUAGCAUUGCGUUAGUACUUUUUUGUUCUUGAGGACUAAGAGUCCACUACAUGAAUUUGCCAUAGUUUACCCAUUCUCCUUGUGAUGGACAGUUUCCAGUUUCGGGUUACUGUGAAUGAAGAUCCUAUGGACACUUGUUCACAAGGCUUUUGUGGAAUAUGUUUCCAUUUCUCUUGGAUAAAAACCUUGGUGUGGAAUUUCUGGGUCAUAAGAUGUAUGUUUAACUUUCUUAAAAGGUUAAGAAACUCUCAAACUGUUUUUCAAAAUAACUGUAUCAUUUAUGCCUCUGCCAGUAACAUGAGUGUUACGAUUCCUCCGCAUCGUCUCCAACGCUUGAGGCUGUCAACCUUGUUCAUUUUGGCCAGGCUAGUGGGUGUGUAGUGGUAUCUCAUUGUUUUAAAUUAAAAUAGUUUUAAUUUUUAUUUCUCUGAUGACAAUAGCGAGCAUUUUUCAUGUGCUUUUUGGCCAUUUAUACAUCUUUAUUUGUGACAUAACUGUUCACAUUUUUUUGCUUUUUAAAAAACUGGGUCAUUUGUUUUUUU
RNAcentral lists this long non-coding RNA (2004 nucleotides) under Equus asinus (donkey). RNAcentral's name for it is "lncRNA (ENSEASG00005024314.1)". Lineage: Eukaryota; Metazoa; Chordata; Mammalia; Perissodactyla; Equidae. The record is from RNAcentral.